AUGAACGCUGGCGGCGUGCCUAAUCCCUGCAAGUCGAGCGAACAGAUGAGGAGCUUGCUCCUCUGACGUUAGCGGCGGACGGGUGAGUAACACGUGGAUAACCUACCUAUAAGACUGGGAUAACUACGGGAAACCGGAGCUAAUACCGGAUAAUAUAUUGAACCGCAUGGUUCAAUAGUGAAAGACGGUUUUGCUGUCACUUAUAGAUGGAUCCGCGCCGCAUUAGCUAGUUGGUAAGGUAACGGCUUACCAAGGCAACGAUGCGUAGCCGACCUGAGAGGGUGAUCGGCCACACUGGAACUGAGACACGGUCCAGACUCCUACGGGAGGCAGCAGUAGGGAAUCUUCCGCAAUGGGCGAAGGCCUGACGGAGCAACGCCGCGUGAGUGAUGAAGGUCUUCGGAUCGUAAAACUCUGUUAUUAGGGAAGAACAAAUGUGUAAGUAACUAUGCACGUCUUGACGGUACCUAAUCAGAAAGCCACGGCUAACUACGUG
RNAcentral lists this ribosomal RNA (496 nucleotides) under uncultured bacterium. Its description in RNAcentral is "partial 16S ribosomal RNA". It matches the Rfam family "Bacterial small subunit ribosomal RNA", at positions 29 to 507 of the family's 1533-position model. The record is from RNAcentral.